ACGGAGGGGGCAAGCGUUGUUCGGAAUUACUGGGCGUAAAGGGCGUGUAGGCGGUUAGGUAAGUCAGUUGUGAAAGCCCCGAGCUUAACUUGGGAAUUGCAACUGAAACUGCCUAGCUAGAGUUUUGGAGAGGAAAGCGGAACUCCCAGUGUAGCGGUGAAAUGCGUAGAUAUUGGGAGGAACACCGGUGGCGAAGGCGGCUUUCUGGACAAAAACUGACGCUGAGGCGCGAAAGCUAGGGGAGCAAACGG
This 251-nucleotide ribosomal RNA is filed under the name uncultured prokaryote. RNAcentral describes it as "partial 16S rRNA". It matches the Rfam family "Bacterial small subunit ribosomal RNA", at positions 525 to 775 of the family's 1533-position model. The record is from RNAcentral.